AAAAAAGUUAAAUGUUUUAGGGAUAAUUGGUUGUUCUUACUUCGUAAUGGUUGGUUGGUAAGCACAAUAUUAUAAGAAAUUUUCUUUUUGACGAGAUGAUAACAUUGAUAAAUGAUACAGUAAGUACUACUUGAAUUCAAUGAUGGUGUAUGAUCUGUAGUUCUGUACAUCUUCAAUAAGAUUCAAAAUACAAUACAUGUUGGAGAUUUUUUGUUAUCUACGUCACAAGAUUGCAGGUAUUUGUUGGACUCAGUUCUGUUUGCACAUAACCAUCCCUAGAUUUCUCUUAAGAGAAAGAACCAAUUUCUGAUGGCAGACUUACCAUGGUGUUAAGAGAUUUUAAUUUUCAAGUGUGUGUCUUCAUCUUUCAUGUCUUCCGAAUUUCAAGUUCCGAAAUAAUUCCAGAAAUUUGCAAUCCAUGAUAGAGGAAAAACAUCAUCAGAUUAAAGACAUAUCUAAGAGGUAUUUGAAAGUUGAAAGCUGCAAAGUAGGAUCCAAGCUUGAUGGUUCAAAUAUAUUCCUGCUUCAAACUGAUUCUGCAUAGUUGUUUUUUCCCAAUUAUCAACAUUAAAAACUUCACAAAUAAUAAAGGAUACUACUAACUGUGUUAAGAAUUCAAAGAUAAAGGAGGAAGAAGGAAGGAGGUAGGAGAAGAAUACA
RNAcentral lists this long non-coding RNA (660 nucleotides) under Trifolium pratense (red clover). Its description in RNAcentral is "long non-coding RNA (TPRA_LNC007009)". Lineage: Eukaryota; Viridiplantae; Streptophyta; Magnoliopsida; Fabales; Fabaceae. The record is from RNAcentral.